This is a long non-coding RNA of Mauremys mutica (yellowpond turtle), 1253 nucleotides long. RefSeq lists it as uncharacterized. The transcript is spliced from 6 exons. NCBI's taxonomy places the organism in Eukaryota, Metazoa, Chordata, Testudines, Geoemydidae. The record is from RefSeq and is a predicted model, not a curated record.
GACUAAUAAGAAUGAAGUCAUAACACUGCCACAAAUAUCAAAUAAUGCUAAGUUUAUGACUAACUAUAAAACUGACAUUAUUCUACAAGUUUUAGAUCAACUUCAUGUGAUGUGCACGGCACACCACUGUGCUCUUUUUAAGUGGAAAAGGUAACAUUCUACGUAUCAAUGGGAAGAUACCUAUUGAUUUUUAUGACUAUCAGAAAACUGGAAAAAGCCUGAUGUCUACAGUGUCCAUUUGGGGCUGCAAGCAGAAAGCAUUAGGAGGUCAGAGGAGCCAGUAGGCCUGUGAUCUACUCUGACCCUUUGAACUCUGGCGAUUCUUUCUGCCAUGGAAGGAGAUACAUUAAUGAAAAUCAGCUCUACAAGUAUUUUUGAAUGAGAAUCUGGACAAGUGAAACACCUCUAUGAAUCAGACUGCUUUUCUGAUAAGCUACACACAACUGUCUUUAUGGGGAAAGGAGAACUACAGGUGGCAUGAGGCUUGGAACCGGACAGAAAAACUCCCCCCACCCAAAGCCCUUUGGGAAGGGAGAAGGGAAGAAGUAUCAAAAGCUCAGUUGUAUAAAGAUCAAGUUGUCAGGCAGCACUUUUGUCCAUAGCCUGGGCUUCCCUAAGGUAGCUGAAUGUUCUCCACAGCAGGCAGAGAAUUUAUUGAAACAUGGCAACCUGCUUGGAUGGCAAACAAUACAUGUUGAAAAAAAGUUAGCAGGCGAACAAAGUCAAACUCAGAAGCAAGGGCAGCCUUAGAGAAUCACAAGAUAUUUGUGAAAUUAUUUGCUGAAACAGGAGAAUUAUAUAUGAAAAAAGUUAAUUGAUAUUGCAUGAUUCAUGCAAUUGGUUACAAAACUGAGUUCAUCCCAAAACCCCUGAAUAUAUUCUUCUCUUGAAGGGAACUAAUAAAAUAUUUAACGUGAAAAUAGACUGCUGAUUCAGUUAGAAGAAAACUAACUGUAGGAUUUAUUGAAGAGAGGUAUACCAAGGCACAAGUCAAGCUGCAGCAAGAGGCAAUGCCACACAAGGGAUCAGAGUAUAGGUCCCAUGUCUGUCCUAGGCUUCCAGGCUGGCAGCAUUUCCUGAAGGAAUGUCUCAUUGCCCCCCUUCAGGUCAAUCUGAGGAACAGCAUUAGAGCAAGACAAAAACAUUUCCAAGCCCUCACUGACUAGAAGGUUCAUCAUCACAACUGGGAGAACAGGCAGGAAGUUUCCUGAAGAGUUCCCUUUUCCCCAUACAUUCCCUUGGAACUGACUUAA